Non-coding RNA from Acanthosepion pharaonis, 111 nucleotides. The record is from the annotation of a GenBank genome assembly. NCBI's taxonomy places the organism in Eukaryota, Metazoa, Mollusca, Cephalopoda, Sepiida, Sepiidae.
CAGCCACAUCAUAUUGAAACACCGGUUCCUGUACAGUCACUGAAGUUAAGCAAUGUUGAGCAUGGCCAGUACCGAGAUGGGUGACUGCCUGGAAAUACCAGGUGCUGCAAG